AACUGCGAGUGAAGCGGGAAAAGCUCAAAUUUAAAAUCUGGCGGUCUUUGGCUGUCCGAGUUGUAAUCUAGAGAAGUGCUAUCCGCGCUGGACCGUGUACAAGUCUCCUGGAACGGAGCGUCAUAGAGGGUGAGAAUCCCGUCUUUGACACGGACUACCAGGGCUUUGUGAUGUGCUCUCAAAGAGUCGAGUUGUUUGGGAAUGCAGCUCUAAAUGGGUGGUAAAUUCCAUCUAAAGCUAAAUAUUGGCGAGAGACCGAUAGCGAACAAGUACCGUGAGGGAAAGAUGAAAAGAACUUUGGAAAGAGAGUUAAACAGUACGUGAAAUUGUUGAAAGGGAAACGCUUGAAGUCAGUCGCGUUGGCUGGGGAUCAACCUUGCUCUUUUGCUUGGCGUACUUUCCAGUUGACGGGUCAGCAUCAAUUUUGACCAGUGGAUAAAGGUCAGGGGAAUGUGGCAUCUUCGGAUGUGUUAUAGCCCUUGGUUGCAUACAUUGGUUGGGAUUGAGGAACUCAGCACGCCGCAAGGCCGGGUCUUUGACCACGUACGUGCUUAGGAUGCUGGCAUAAUGGCUUUAAUCGACCCGUCUUGAAACACGGACCAAGGAGUCUAACAUGCCCGCGAGUGUUUGGGUGGAAAACCCGGACGCGUAAUGAAAGUGAAAGUUGAGAUCCCUGUCGUGGGGAGCAUCGACGCCCGGACCAGACCUUUUGUGACGGUCCCGCGGUAGAGCGUGUAUGUUGGGACCCGAAAGAUGGUGAACUAUGCCUGAAUAGGGUGAAG
This 782-nucleotide ribosomal RNA is filed under the name Collybia sordida. RNAcentral describes it as "eukaryotic LSU rRNA". It matches the Rfam family "Eukaryotic large subunit ribosomal RNA", at positions 85 to 851 of the family's 3401-position model. The record is from RNAcentral. Lineage: Eukaryota; Fungi; Basidiomycota; Agaricomycetes; Agaricales; Clitocybaceae.